UGGUUCUGGCAUCGAUGAAGAACGCAGCGAAAUGCGAUAAGUAGUGUGAAUUGCAGAAUUCAGUGAAUCAUCGAAUCUUUGAACGCACAUUGCGCCCCUUGGUAUCCCGAGGGGCAUGCCUGUUCGAGCGUCAUUUCACCACUCAAGCCUGGCUUGGUGUUGGGCGACGUCCCCUUUAGGGACGCGCCUCGAAACGCUCGGCGGCGUGGCACCGGCUUUAAGCGUAGCAGAAUCUUUCGCUUUGAAAGUCGGGGCCCCGUCUGCCGGAAGACCUACUCGCAAGGUUGACCUCGGAUCAGGCAGGGAUACCCGCUGA
This 316-nucleotide unclassified non-coding RNA is filed under the name uncultured fungus. RNAcentral's name for it is "partial contains 5.8S ribosomal RNA and internal transcribed spacer 2". The stretch from base 1 to 133 matches the Rfam family "5.8S ribosomal RNA", at positions 22 to 154 of the family's 154-position model. Lineage: Eukaryota; Fungi. The record is from RNAcentral.